AAAAGAAAGCCUAGCGUGGUGGCGAGCACCUGUAGUCCCAGCUACUUGGGAGGCUGAGGCAGGAGAACGGCGUGAACCCGGGAGGCGGAGCUUGCAGUAAGUCGAGAUUGUGCCACUGCACUACAGUCUGGGCAACAGAGCGAGACUCCGCCUAAAAAAAAAAAAAAGCAAACAAAAACCGAAGUAUGUGUGACCUCUAGUCAGCCAAUGGCUGCUUGGCUGUAUUUUGAAUUUAGGCCUAGUUAGCCACUCCGGAUCCAUCAUGAACCUCUUUUGGGGUUCACACCCUUAAGCCUCAAAUAUUUACUCUCUGGCUCUUUACGGAAAAUGUUUGCAGUUUCCCACCAUCAGCAAUAACCAAUGGAUAUCAAAUGUGUUACAUACAUAUUUUUCCCAACCUGUCUUUUAACUUUGUGGGUUUUUUUUUCUACCACACAACACUGUGCAAUUCUUUUCCUGUAUGGGUUUUAGGUUUCCUGCUUUGUUUAAUAAGGUCUCCUCGACCUAAGCUUAUGCAAAUAUUCUUCCAAUUUUUGUUUUAUUAAUUUUACUUACGUUUUGCCUUUAGUUCGCUAAUCCACCUAGAAUUAAUCUUAUUUGUGAUGUGAGGAAGGAUUUAGCUUUGUUUUAUUCCUGACAAACAGCCAGCAUGUCAGCAGUUAUACUUAGUAAAUAAAACAUUCUUCAACUGACUUGAAUUGUGAUCUUUCAUGUAUCAAGUCCCCAUAAACACUUGAAUCUGUUUCUGGAUUUUCUGUUUUAUUCCACUGAUUUAUUUGUUGUCUUUUCUGUGUCAAUAUAUUUUGAUUGCAGGAGUAAAUCAAGUGGGUUUUAGAUCUGUGACAUAGCCAAGUCCUAAAACAAUAGUAGCUGAGACAAAAUAGAAGUUUAUUUCUCUCGUCAGAUAAAAUAAUUUCAGAGAUAGGUAGCCCAGGGCUAAAAUGGUGGCUUCACGUUCAUCAGGCCUCCAUCGUUCCACUCCACUGUCCUCGAAUUAAUCUCCAUCCUUACAGUCACCUCAUUGUCCAAGAUGGCUUCUGGAAUUCCAGCCAUCAGAUUCACAUUCCAUUCCAGGUAGCAGAAAGUAGGAAGAAGAAAGGGCAAAUAAAAUUUUAAAAACAUAAAGCAAGAAAAGAGAGUGAAAAGAGAAAUGAAAUGAAAAGGGAAAAAAGAAACAAAAAAAUGACUUUUGCAAACCGUUGUCUAUACAUUUUUGAAGAGGAGUCUUUCUAGAAGUCCUUCCCAACCACUUUUGCUUAUACUUUAGCCACAUAGCCAUACCUUUAAAGGAGGCUGGGAAAGCCUCCUUAUAGGUUUAAAAGUUAUAUUGUAAUAUUAUUGAGGAAACACAUUGCUACCCCAUCAAUAUACAAAUUUUGUUACUAAGAAAGGAGUUAAUACUAGGUAAGCACUUAGUAGUGUUUGCCCCAGGUAGCUUUACAGUAACUUCCCAAAACUGUUGAAGCAUUUUACUAUUUUUUUUGGGGGGGGACAGGAUCUUACUUUGUUGCCCAGGCUGGAAUGCAGUGGUGUGAUCAAGCUCCCUGCAGCCUCAAUCUCCUGGGUUCAAGCCAUCCCCCCACCUCAGUCUCCUAAGUAGCGGGGACUACAGGCACGCACCACCACACCUGGCUGUUUUUUUGUUUUUGUUUUUGUUUUUGUUUUUGUUUUUGAGACAGUGUCUCAUUCUGUUGCCCAGGCUGGAGUGCAGUGGAGCGAUCUCGGCUCACUGCAACCUCCGCCUCCCAGAUUGAAGCGAUUCUCAUGCCUCAGCCUCCCGAGUAGCUGGGAAUGCAAGCGCCCAUCACCACACCCAGCUAGUUUUGUAUUUUUAGUAGGGAUGGGGUUUCACCAUGUUGGCCAGGCUGGUCUCAAGCUCCUGACCUCAGGUGAUCCACCAGUCUCGGCCUCCCAGAGUGCUGGGAUUACACCACCACGCACACCUGGCUAAUAUUUUUGUUUUUUAAUAGAGACAAGGUCUUGCUGUGUUGCCCAGGCUUGUCUGGAACUCCUGGGCUCAAGCAAUCCUCUUGCCUUGGCCUCCCAAAGUGCUGGGAUUACAGGUGUGAGUCACUGUGCCUGGCCUAGUUUUUAGGAAACCAUUUUAAACUUUUAAAGUCAUUUUAUACAGUAUAUCCUAUCCCCCUCCAUUCUGAUAGGAAGGACUUAAAUAUUUUUAUAUAUUUAGGAGAAAUGAAUACUUUAAGCAUUCCAAACAGGAUCCUGGUAUAUCUCUUCAUUUUUUUAGGCUUUUUGUCUUUGUCUAUCAAUCCAAUUUUAUAGUUUUUCCCAUAUAGACCCUGUUUUUGUUCAAUUUAUUGACACAAUAUCUUCUGUUGCUUUUAUGAAUGUAAUGUUUCUCCCGUAUUGUUUUUUGUUUUGUCAUUGCCAGUUAAAGGAAAGUUACUGGCUUUUGGAUUGUAAAUUUUUUUUUUUUUUUUAGACAAGAUCUCACUCUGUUGACCAGGCUGGAGUGCAGUGGUGUGAUUACAGUCACUCAAGCCUUCCACCUCAGCCUCCCAGGUAGCUGGAACUAUAGGUGUACGCCACUAUGCCCGGCUAACUUUUGAAUUUUCUGUAGAUUCAGGGUUUCACCAUGUUGCCCAGAUGGAUCUGGAACUGCUAGCCGCAAACAAUCCACUCGCCUCAGCCUCCCAAAGUGCUGGGAUUACAGGUGUGAGCCACAACUCCCAGCCUUGGACAUAUUUCUUGCAACCAGUCACUUUGACCAAAUUCUCUUAAUAAUAUUAAUGUUUUAGGAGAGUCUCAGAUUUCCUAGAUUAUAAUAACAUUUUCUAAUAAAAAAUAUUUUUCCCUUCUUCUCAAAUAUUGAUACUAAUCAUUUUAUUUUCCUGUCUUGGUGCAUUGAACCAAACCUUGGAAUCAUUGUUGAAUCACAGUAGGCAUCCUUGCCUUCUUCCUGUUGCUGAUGGCACUGGCUUCAGCAUGGCCUCCUUCGGUGUGAUGGGUGUUAUUGGGUUGUGUUAAGAAUGCAUAAUCUGCACUUUGGGAGGUUGAGGCGAGUGGAUCACGAGGUCAGCAGUUCAAGACCAGCCUGGCCAACAUGGUGAAACCCCGUUUCUGCUAAAAAAUACAAAAAAUUAGCCGGGCGUGGUGGCAGGCGCCUGUAAUCCCAGCUACUUGAGAGGCUGAGGCAGGAGAAUCGCUUGAAACUGGGAGGCGGAGGUUGCAGUGAGCUGAGAUUGCACCAUUGGACUCCAGCCUGGGCAGCAAGAGCGAAAACUCCAUCUCAAAAAAAAAAAAAGAAUGGCUCACACCUGUAAUCCUAGCACUUUGGGAGGCCAAGGUGGGCAGAUCACCUGAGGUCAGGAGUUCAAGAGCAGCUUGGCCGACAUGGCGAAACCCUGUCUCUACUAAAAAUACAAAAAUUAGCAGGGUAUGGUGGCAGGCGCCUGUAGUCUCAGCUACUUGGGAGGCUGAGGCAGGAGAAUUGCUUGAGCCCAGGAGGCGGAGGUUGCAGUGAGCUGAGAUCAUACCACUGCACUCUAGCCUGGGCAACAGAGUGAAACUCUGUCUCAAAAAAAAAAACAAAAACAAAAAAAAAGGAAUGCAUAGCAUAGUCAGGGUGUUGUUUUUUUAUCUAGUUCUAUUUUACUUAGAGAGUUUAUUAGGAAUGACUGCUGAAUUGUACCCAACCCCGCAAGGGAAUGAUUUUCUCCUUUAACUAAUGGGUGUAAGAAAAUGUGUCAGGCCAGGCGCGGUGGUUCAUGCCUGUAAUCCCAGCACUUUGGGAGGCCGAGGUGGGUAAAUCACGAGGUCAGGAGUUUGAGACAAGUCUUGUCAACAUGGUGAAAUCUCGUCUCUACUAAAAAUACAAAAAUUAGCCGGGCACAGUGGCAGUCGCCUGUAAUCCCAGCUACUCAGGAGGCUGAGGCUGGGGAGAAUCGCUUGAACCUGGGAGGUGGAGGUUGCAGUGAGCCAAGAUUGCACCAUUGCACUCUGGCCUGGGUGACACAGCAAGACUCCAUCUCAAAAAAAAAAAAAAAAAAAAAAAGAAAGAAAGAAAAGAAAAGGAAAGAAAGAAAGAAAAUGUGUCACUUUAAUCAUAAUAAACAUUUACUUUCUUUUAAAAGAUAAUGUAUUAAAAAGUUUUGUGCAUCAAAGAUUACUAUCA
This 4135-nucleotide long non-coding RNA is filed under the name Homo sapiens (human). Its description in RNAcentral is "non-protein coding lnc-SLC25A45-4:1". The record is from RNAcentral. Lineage: Eukaryota; Metazoa; Chordata; Mammalia; Primates; Hominidae.